RNAcentral lists this ribosomal RNA (421 nucleotides) under uncultured bacterium. RNAcentral's name for it is "bacterial SSU rRNA". It matches the Rfam family "Bacterial small subunit ribosomal RNA", at positions 361 to 774 of the family's 1533-position model. The record is from RNAcentral.
AUCUUCCGCAAUGGGCGAAAGCCUGACGGAGCAACGCCGCGUGAGUGAUGAAGGGUUUCGGCUCGUAAAACUCUGUUAUUAGGGAAGAACAAAUGUGUAAGUAACGGUGAACAUCUGGUCGGUACGUAAUCAGAAAGCCACGGCUAACUACGUUCCAGCCGCCGCGGUAAUACGUAGGUGGCAAGCGUUAUCCGGAAUUAUUGUGCGUAAAGCGCGCGUAGGCGGUUUCUUAAGUCUGAUGUGAAAGCCCACGGCUCAACCGUGGAGGGUCAUUGGAAACUGGGAAACUUGAGUGCAGAAGAGGAAAGUGGAAUUCCAUGUGUAGCGGUGAAAUGCGCAGAGAUAUGGAGGAACACCAGUGGCGAAGGCGACUUUCUGGUCUGUAACUGACGCUGAUGUGCGAAAGCGUGGGGAUCAAACA